GUUACAGGACUUGCAACACAGCUUAUUGUAACCAGGCAUUGAACAGUAACGAGAGAGAACUUCCAUGCGACAAAACAUGGACUUGUCUCCUUGGCAACGUUCCCCUGAAAGAAAAAAAGAGGAAAGCUGAUGAGCUCAGAGCACCUUUACAAACACGAAUAGAUCAAGCCUCGCAACGCUCCUGGGAAGUUGGAAAAUCCUUGACACAUGGGGAAACUGAGUACAAUGAGGGUAAGUGCACACUUACCAAGUUGCACACUAUGUUAGUGGAAGAGCCAGGAUUAGGAAGCUUAGAACUCCCGACUCCUGGUUCUUUGCUAGAACCAUUGGAUCAGCUUUGUACCUCACACCUCUGUAUGGAAAAAGUAGCACUGGAAGAACUAGCCUGCAAUCCCUUUCACUCAAUACUUGCAUCCUUCCCUCAGAAUGGCUUUUCUUUGUCAAAGAUGUCCAAUGCCCAUUUAAUUGCAAUGCGGCUGGGUGCCUAACUCCCUUAGACACUUCUAAAAAACCCAGCCAUGCCCCUAAAG
Non-coding RNA from Chrysemys picta bellii (western painted turtle), 530 nucleotides. Lineage: Eukaryota; Metazoa; Chordata; Testudines; Emydidae. The record is from RefSeq and is a predicted model, not a curated record.